Molecule: ribosomal RNA, 503 nt
Filed under: uncultured bacterium
Lineage: Bacteria
Description: bacterial SSU rRNA
Rfam family: Bacterial small subunit ribosomal RNA
Source: RNAcentral
AUCCUGGCUCAGGACGAACGCUGGCGGCGUGCCUAACACAUGCAAGUCGAACGGAGAUGUUGUGUGAGCGGAAGGUGCUUGCACCCAACAAUCUUUCAGCAUCUUAGUGGCGGACGGGUGAGUAACGCGUGGGUAACCUGCCUCAUACAGGGGGAUAACACUUAGAAAUAGGUGCUAAUACCGCAUAAGCGCACGGAAUCGCAUGAUUCAGUGUGAAAAACUCCGGUGGUAUGAGAUGGACCCGCGUCUGAUUAGCUAGAUGGCGGGGUAACGGCCCACCAUGGCGACGAUCAGUAGCCGGUCUGAGAGGAUGAACGGCCACAUUGGGACUGAGAUACGGCCCAGACUCCUACGGGAGGCAGCAGUGAGGAAUAUUGGGCAAUGGGGGAAACCCUGACCCAGCAACGCCGCGUGAAGGAAGAAGGCCUUCGGGUUGUAAACUUCUUUUACCAGGGACGAACACAAUGACGGUACCUGGAGAAAAAGCAACGGCUAACUACGUG